Molecule: long non-coding RNA, 527 nt
Organism: Pezoporus occidentalis (night parrot)
Lineage: Eukaryota; Metazoa; Chordata; Aves; Psittaciformes; Psittacidae
Exons: 3
Source: RefSeq, a predicted model, not a curated record
CUAGCAAUGCAGUAUUCAGCCUGAUCAGGAGGCAGUUCCCGCCGUAGUUCCUCCACAGUGAUGUAGUUCUGCAGUGAGGACAAACGAUAAGGAGAGGGUUACUUAAGAAAACUGACCUCUCUCAGAGAGACAACCACCCCCUGCCCCACCAGGGCAGCAGACAAGAGUCAGGGACAGGGCCCCAACAGCUAGACUAGUACUGUACACCCACGCAGGGAGCUCUCUGCACAUACACCCUGGGGGGAAAUGCAGUUCUUCCCUGCUGUUUGGACAAGAAAAUGGUUUUUACAACAGACAGAAAGAUUGCUUUUGCAGGAGAGGUACCAGCAUACCUAUGGAAAAGACCUGGACCAUUUCUGUGGCUGCUUUUAAUAAAAUGAGAAUCUCAGAGCUGCUCAAUGGGAGCUUUCUGCUUUAAAGUAGAUUGCCCUUGCCUUUAAGCACUGCCCAGAAACCAACACCUACAUCACUGGCCAGUUUUUCAUAGUCUUCCAUGAGCUGCUCGUUUUCUUGGUUGACUGCCAGCA